Molecule: small nucleolar RNA, 129 nt
Filed under: Acanthisitta chloris (rifleman)
Lineage: Eukaryota; Metazoa; Chordata; Aves; Passeriformes; Acanthisittidae
Source: RNAcentral
CUGGCCCUAAAUCAAGGCCAUCGGUUUGUCGUAGCCGCUGGUUUCAAGCAGGAGCCCAAAGGAAACUUCUCCCAGUCUGUUGGCUCUCCUGUCCGCGUGGAACAGCCAAUUCGUGUGGGAGGGACACAG